This 464-nucleotide small RNA is filed under the name Lodderomyces parapsilosis. RNAcentral describes it as "eukaryotic LSU rRNA". The stretch from base 159 to 312 matches the Rfam family "5.8S ribosomal RNA". Lineage: Eukaryota; Fungi; Ascomycota; Pichiomycetes; Serinales; Debaryomycetaceae. The record is from RNAcentral.
GAUCAUUACAGAAUGAAAAGUGCUUAACUGCAUUUUUUCUUACACAUGUGUUUUUCUUUUUUUGAAAACUUUGCUUUGGUAGGCCUUCUAUAUGGGGCCUGCCAGAGAUUAAACUCAACCAAAUUUUAUUUAAUGUCAACCGAUUAUUUAAUAGUCAAAACUUUCAACAACGGAUCUCUUGGUUCUCGCAUCGAUGAAGAACGCAGCGAAAUGCGAUAAGUAAUAUGAAUUGCAGAUAUUCGUGAAUCAUCGAAUCUUUGAACGCACAUUGCGCCCUUUGGUAUUCCAAAGGGCAUGCCUGUUUGAGCGUCAUUUCUCCCUCAAAUCCCUCGGGUUUGGUGUUGAGCGAUACGCUGGGUUUGCUUGAAAGAAAGGCGGAGUAUAAACUAAUGGAUAGGUUUUUUCCACCUCAUUGGUACAAACUCCAAAACUUGCUUCCAAAUUCGACCUCAAAUCAGGUAGGA